AACGAACGCUGGCGGCAUGCCUAACACAUGCAAGUCGAACGAGAUCUUCGGGUCUAGUGGCGCACGGGUGCGUAACGCGUGGGAAUCUGCCCUUUGGUUCGGAAUAACGGUUGGAAACGACUGCUAAUACCGGAUGAUGACGAAAGUCCAAAGAUUUAUCGCCAGAGGAUGAGCCCGCGUAGGAUUAGCUAGUUGGUGUGGUAAAGGCGCACCAAGGCGACGAUCCUUAGCUGGUCUGAGAGGAUGAUCAGCCACACUGGGACCGAGACACGGCCCAGACUCCUACGGGAGGCAGCAGUGGGGAAUAUUGGACAAUGGGCGAAAGCCUGAUCCAGCAAUGCCGCGUGAGUGAUGAAGGCCUUAGGGUUGUAAAGCUCUUUUACCCGGGAUGAUAAUGACAGUACCGGGAGAAUAAGCUCCGGCUAACUCCGUGCCAGCCGCCGCGGUAA
RNAcentral lists this ribosomal RNA (449 nucleotides) under uncultured bacterium. RNAcentral's name for it is "partial 16S ribosomal RNA". It matches the Rfam family "Bacterial small subunit ribosomal RNA", at positions 29 to 523 of the family's 1533-position model. The record is from RNAcentral.